UUCUAUCCGAGCUCCUCUCUUCCCAAGCUGCUAAGCUCCUCAUUUAGGGUUUGAUGAUAUCUUUUAUUCAUGUGAAAAUAUCCGGAAAAGUAAUUAUCGGUGGACGUGCAUAUAGUCCAAAUUCAUGUUCUUCUGGUCAAAUGGUUGAACAUCUCUAGUGGGAGCCCCUCAGGUAUCUCUUCUGUGACAUAUUGCUUACAACAAACUCAAUAUAUGCUACAACUUUUAGCGGGGAACCUGCAAGUUUCUUUCAAAUUUCUUAACUUUAUUGGAUAAUAUUGCAACAAUUUUGCAGCCUCUAUAAAUCA
This is a non-coding RNA of Solanum lycopersicum (tomato), 308 nucleotides long. The record is from RefSeq and is a predicted model, not a curated record. Lineage: Eukaryota; Viridiplantae; Streptophyta; Magnoliopsida; Solanales; Solanaceae.